AGGAUGUUGGGUUAAGUCCCGCAACGAGCGCAACCCUUAUCAUUAGUUGCUAACAUUCAGUUGAGAACUCUAAUGAGACUGCCAGUGAUAAACUGGAGGAAGGUGGGAUGACGUCAAAUCAUCAUGCCCCUUAUGACCUGGGCUACACACGUGCUACAAUGGCCGGUACAAAGAGUUGCGAAACUGUGAAGUUAAGCUAAUCUCAUAAAGCCGGUCUCAGUUCGGAUUGUAGUCUGCAACUCGACUACAUGAAGUCGGAAUCGCUAGUAAUCGCGAAUCAGAAUGUCGCGGUGAAUACGUUCUCGAGUCUU
This 311-nucleotide ribosomal RNA is filed under the name uncultured Bacillota bacterium. RNAcentral describes it as "bacterial SSU rRNA". It matches the Rfam family "Bacterial small subunit ribosomal RNA", at positions 1069 to 1382 of the family's 1533-position model. Lineage: Bacteria; Bacillati; Bacillota. The record is from RNAcentral.